This is a non-coding RNA of Sesamum indicum (sesame), 4011 nucleotides long. The record is from RefSeq and is a predicted model, not a curated record. NCBI's taxonomy places the organism in Eukaryota, Viridiplantae, Streptophyta, Magnoliopsida, Lamiales, Pedaliaceae.
CAAGCAUUUGUUAUUGCAUAGAAAGAAGAAAAGUUUCCAUUUCGGGCCGACGGGCUUGUAAAUUGGAUUCAAUUGCCAUUCCUGGGCCCGAUCAUUCUUUUUCUUGAAACUCCGCCACUGAUUCGAUCACUUCUUCUGAUUGCUGCCUCUUGAUUUACAUUGAAAGACUUCCUGCUAAUCCUGUUUUUUUUGUUUUUUGGUUAAUCAUCUAUAUAGGGUUUCAUGCGAAUUACUUUGAGGACUAUGUUUAUCUGAUUUCGACUGGAAUUGCAUGAGAUUAAAUGCUGAUUUACGUUUAGUAAUCCUGGUUUUGUUCAUUGCAGUUUUUGAUCUACCCACUUAAGGUAGGUGUACAGAAUUCUUGGAAUAUGUUGCCAUUUUAUGAUUUGGGCAAGUGAACUACAAACAUCAAGCGGGCUUGGUUGAAUUCGAUUACCAGUGUGAAUACCUAUUUGCAAUUACAAAGACCAAACACGGCCAAAGCAUCAGAGAGAAUGUUAUGCAAUCACAUUGUAAGUGCAUUCACUCCCUCGUUUUAGGGACAGCCCUCCUCCUGCAGUCCUGAUUUGGUGGAGGCCAUUAAUUGGUGCAUUUAUUUGCUUCAACUGCCGCUGGAAUGGGAUUCAGAAUGAUGGUCUAAUCACCACUUGUAAGUGCAUUUACAUCAAAUUAGCAGCUUUGUUCUUUCUUCAAUAUGGAAGCCAAGUUGACAGAUAAGCGAGUGCAUUAGGUGCUUUUUUAUGCCUUUUUUUACUUUCAUUUGCCCUCUUUGAGUUGGUUGAUUAACAUUUAAAUGUCUUUUUGAUUUGGCACUCAUUGCGGGUUAAUAUCUUUCUUUCUUCCGCAACUUUAGUUAAAGUAUAGAAACCAUCCUUAUUAUUCGAAUCAUUAUAUUUCAUUCAUGUUUAUCAUACACAAUUAGUAUACCUGUCAGUAUUGUUUUCAUUAUACUGCCACCGUGUAUCUGUAGUGCUUCCAUUACCAAAACAUCUCAUAUGGUCCACAUGGGUUGUAAGUGUAAAUAUUCAAAUUAUGAAGAUAAUUUCUGUGAAUUAAUCACAAUUUUAGGUUUUUACAUUAAUUAGUGAAAUUACUCUAAAAUUUAUAUGAAAUGAAAUGAAGUUAAUAUGUAUUCUGCCCUCUUGGCUGAUAGAUUCACCAUUUAUAGUAAGGUGAAAAGUGACGCCAAACGACUCCUCCUCCUCACGAAAUAGAUGGCCUAAUCUUUGUACACAUAUCGUGUAUAUAUUAAAUGAAAUGGAAGAUGCAAUAAUUAAAUCCAAUCUGCUACCCAAUACCUAUUGCAUUUUUAUGAUUCCUCCCAACUGCAUUACCCAACGCAUCUUGCAUUUUUAUGAGUCCUCAAUAGCAUUUACUACCACCGCUUGAAGAGUUAAUUCCCCAUACCCAUGAGCAGUCAAUUUGUCGAACCAGAUUUUACCACGUACAGGGACCUCAGUCAUUACAUGGUAUAAGAAAAUUAUUUCGAACAACCUCAAUUUGUGUUUCAAGUUAUUCUAGUACUGCAGCUAAUGGAAAAUGCACAAGUACUCGAGCUUCACUUAUUUGAUAUGCGCAGGAAAUUCAAUUUCUUGGUCGAUGUUCUUUGACCUUUAUAUGAAUCUGUGGUCGUGUCGUUUUAACUUGCUACUUUGUCUUGUAUUAUCUAUUCUUUUUGUGAUUAGAUAUCUAGAUGUAUUACCUAGGGCUUAACAUUUGAAUUACUCAAUCAUAGAUGGGAAGACAAGAUACUUGGCUAGUUCUUCUUUCUUUCUUUUUUUUUUAUUUGAACUGAUGAACUAUUAGUAAUUGAAAUAACUCAAUUACAAUCCUUUUUGUCAAAUAUCAAUACGUAACAAAGACAAUUACAACAAUCAUACCCUCGAUAAUAUCAAAUAAGUGAAAUCUAAACAAACCUACUAAUACAGUAUACAACACCUACUAUACAGUAGAAUAACAUCCCACACAUAUAGCUGAGUUCGAACCCAUUACUCUUAAAGUCAUGGGGCGUCAAUUUCACAAACUGAGCUAGGUCUUAUUGACGAGAUACUUGGCUAGUUGGAAACACCAUAUGGUAACUGUUCUCUUUUUUUUUUUUUUUGUACAUCACUCAAUAUGUUCAAAUUCAAAGAUUUAUACAUCAAUAAUUCAAAUCAACGAAUAUAUUGGUUUAUUACUUGAAUGUCACUCUCUUGCCACUACUUCAGCUAUGUAUUUCGGAUGUACUUCUUGAGCACAAUACUUAGUCUUUCUGUAUCCACAUACCAACUGUGCAAUCACUCUAUACAAAAUCUUGUAGCCGUGUGGCUGGGAUUUUACGCCUUAUUCUAGGGUGGUUAGUCCCUAUAUGCAUUUUAACAUUCAUUUAAUCUAGUCUCUACUCCAGCCCGCCAGAACGCAAGAUUAUUGUCGCUCUCUCUCUCUUGCAUUAAGGAUAAAGGUACAUGAGAAAUAAGGAAGUUGAUCACAGUUAAGGUGCCUUAAAUUCACAUUUAGGUAUUUGUACAGAUACAUGUCCUGCAAAUUGAGCCGUGUACAACUGCUACUCCUUCAGGACAACUACGUGUUACCCAUUGAUACUUCUGGUAUUUAUUUAGGCAAUCAAUCAACACUUGAAAAACAAUAGUAUACUCUAUUUGGUACCACAUUUCAAAAUCAGCACAGUUGAAACUAACCAACUUCAAUUAAUUUUUCCUCUUUAUUUGCACACUCUUGCUAGUUAUGGCUUUCAUAUACCCUUGAUUUUAUUUUGUGCUCCCUCAACUAUAUGUUUUGCGCCAUGUAAUUGCUGAAUAUAUUUUGAAAAUUAUAUUUAUAUAAAUUAAGUAUAAAAUUAAAUCAAUCGAAAAACUCAAUGAUGUCACAUUCUACGAUGAUCCCAUAAAUUAAGUAUAAAACUGAAGUCAUUUGUAGUUGGCCUAGUGUAACAUAGUUAAUCGAAGAGUUAAAUCACGAGUAUAAGUAUGAAGAAUAAGUAUCCCCACAAAUGAAUUAUUUGUGGAGCUUUAAUAUACCUUAGAAUCGAAAGAAAUUUAGUUCAAGGGGACCACGACUUCAAGGUUAAACACGUGUUGUAAUGAGACCAUCAUUUGCGUCUAUUUGGAUGUCCUUAUUGUAAAUUUACAAUUCACCAAUUCACAGCUCACUUAAUACACGUGUUUCACUAGAAUCGGAAGACGUGUUCAAGAAUAAACAUAUCCUUAGAUAUGAACUGCUCCUACAUUUACCAUCCCACAAAACUUUUCUUACUAUGAUACAAUUAAACUUAACGAUGCUUUUCAUCAAUAUGAGAGGGCAUCAGGCUCAGAAGGUGGUGUCUAACACCUAGGACUCGGGCAACAAUGGAGCCCUAAUUACUACAACCAGCAACACUAACUAAUGGUAUUGAUAUAUUUUGGUGGUCGGUGGGAGGGUGGUGGUUGUACCCUAUAGCUCUAGUUUGUGUCUUUGUGAUGGAUGGCGAAGCCCACAUGCCGCUUUUAAUUAGGUUGGUUCGCAGUUCCGCAUGUCUCUGCGGCUCUCCCUCUUCCACUUCCAGGGUUAGACGCCACCUACCCUACUGCCCCAUUUAUUUUUUGUUAACUAUUAGUAUAAACAUUAUUGUAUUUAAUAAGUGUAAAAAUUAUAUCAUGUAUUUAUUUUUAAAAAUUAUACAUAUAAUAACUUGGCCAAGUGGUAAGCAAUUGUGGUCUAUGGACAGAUGUUCGAAACCCACUGGAGACAUGAAUUCAGGGGUACUUCUCUUCGUGUGACUUGACCUGAGAUAUUAUAUAGGGAUAAUUACGUUUACAUUCCUUGAUCUAUGGCAUGUUUACACAAAUCAUCCCCUAAAAAUAUUAGCAUCAUUAUACAAACUAUCUCUAUUUUUUAACUAUUAGAGGUAGUUUUUAUAAUUAUAUAAAAAAUAUGAAUAAUUUGUGUAAAUAAAAUAUAGAUCAGGGAUGUGAAUAUAAUUAUCCAUAUUAUAUAUGCUAGUGAUUGAUGUUUAUUUUGAAAUUUUAUUAUAUGUGU